This 320-nucleotide ribosomal RNA is filed under the name uncultured eukaryote. RNAcentral describes it as "partial 18S ribosomal RNA". It matches the Rfam family "Eukaryotic small subunit ribosomal RNA", at positions 1470 to 1796 of the family's 1831-position model. The record is from RNAcentral.
CCCCUAGAUGUUCUGGGCCGCACGCGCGCUACACUGAACAGUUCAACAAGUCUUAACCUUGGCCGAUAGGUCUGGGUAAUCUUUGAACGCUGUUCGUGAUUGGGAUAGACCUUUGCAAUUAUGGGUCUUCAACGAGGAAUUCCUAGUAAACGCAAGUCAUCAGCUUGCAUUGAUUACGUCCCUGCCCUUUGUACACACCGCCCGUCGCGCCUACCGAUCGAAUGGUCCGGUGAAAUCUCGGGACGGCGGCUUGGUCGCUUGCGUCCGACUGCUGAAACUUGAUUAAACCAUAUCAUUUAGAGGAAGGUGAAGUCGUAACA